Ooceraea biroi (clonal raider ant) is the source of this 277-nucleotide long non-coding RNA. RefSeq lists it as uncharacterized. The record is from RefSeq and is a predicted model, not a curated record. Lineage: Eukaryota; Metazoa; Arthropoda; Insecta; Hymenoptera; Formicidae.
AGUCUGAAAUCCACCAAGCUCUUCAUCUUCCUCAUCUCGUUCGGAAGCACAGAUAUCCGAUUGCCGCUGAUAUCCAGCUUCACGAGCCUCAGAGAUCAUUUAUCUACACUUUUCCAACUGGCAUCGACCUGGUAAUUACUAAAUGCGCUGAGAGAGUUGUUUUCAAGCAGCGAGCAGGUUUCCCCGCGUUGAAAAGGUGGGUCUACCUACCUAUAGGCAGGUGCACCAGCAAGUUGCUCCUCAGGUCUAGAGACCGGAGCCGCGCAAGGUCGCCCAU